This 263-nucleotide long non-coding RNA is filed under the name Carica papaya (papaya). RNAcentral's name for it is "long non-coding RNA (CPAP_LNC005429)". The record is from RNAcentral. Lineage: Eukaryota; Viridiplantae; Streptophyta; Magnoliopsida; Brassicales; Caricaceae.
CUUACUUAAUUUAAUGCCCGAAAGACUAAGUUAUUGAUUGCGCUUACUGGCGGUCCCCGGGUUCCCUGAAUUUUUUUUCGAAGAUUAAAAUGCCCUACAAGUACCUACAAAUAUCCCAAAAAAUCUAAAAACAGUGUCAGGAUCCCUUUUUGGCUAAUUCUGGAAUUCUGGUAUGGCGACUCCGUUGUGCUCCGGCGAGCGGCGGUGGUCCGUCUCACGUCGGCUGUUUUCGGUCGAAUUCGGUCGAUUUUGCAUCAAUCCCU